GCCUCCGUGGCGCAAUUGGCUAGCGCGUUCGGCUGUUAACCGAAAGGUUGGAGAUUCGAGCCCUCCCGGGGGCG
This 74-nucleotide transfer RNA is filed under the name Rhipicephalus microplus (southern cattle tick). RNAcentral describes it as "tRNA-Asn". It matches the Rfam family "tRNA". From Rfam's summary of the family: Transfer RNA (tRNA) molecules are approximately 80 nucleotides in length. Their secondary structure includes four short double-helical elements and three loops (D, anti-codon, and T loops). Lineage: Eukaryota; Metazoa; Arthropoda; Arachnida; Ixodida; Ixodidae. The record is from Rfam by way of RNAcentral.